GACGAACGCUGGCGGCGUGCUUAACACAUGCAAGUCGAACGGAAAGGCCCUGCUUUUGUGGGGUGCUCGAGUGGCGCACGUGUGAGUAACACGUGAAUCACCUGCCCUUUACUUUGGGAUAUCUUCAGGAAACUGGGGCUACUACCUGAUAUGAGCUCCUGCUGCAUGGUGUGGGUUGGAAAGUUUCGGCGGUUGUGGAUGUACUCGCGGCUUAUCAGCUUGUUGGUGGGGUAGUGGCUUACCAAGGCUUUGACGGGUAGCCGGCCUGAGAGGGUGACCGGCCACAUGGGGACUGAGAUACGGCCCAGAGGCAUACGGGAGGCAGCAGUGGGGAAUAUUGCACAGUGGGCGGGAGCCUGAUGAAGCAACGCCGCGUGCGGGAUGACGGCCUUCGGGGUGUAAACCGCUUUCGCCUGUGACGAAGCGGGAGUGACGGUAAUGGGUAAAGAAGCACCGGCUAACUACGUG
Molecule: ribosomal RNA, 468 nt
Filed under: uncultured bacterium
Lineage: Bacteria
Description: partial 16S ribosomal RNA
Rfam family: Bacterial small subunit ribosomal RNA
Source: RNAcentral